RNAcentral lists this ribosomal RNA (475 nucleotides) under uncultured bacterium. RNAcentral's name for it is "bacterial SSU rRNA". It matches the Rfam family "Bacterial small subunit ribosomal RNA", at positions 335 to 799 of the family's 1533-position model. The record is from RNAcentral.
ACUCCUACGGGAGGCAGCAGUGGGGAAUAUUGCACAAUGGGCGCAAGCCUGAUGCAGCCAUGCCGCGUGUGUGAAGAAGGCCUUCGGGUUGUAAAGCACUUUCAGCAGUGAGGAAGGCGGAGUCGUUAAUAGCGGCCUCGUUUGACGUUAGCUGCAGAAGAAGCACCGGCUAACUCCGUGCCAGCAGCCGCGGUAAUACGGAGGGUGCGAGCGUUAAUCGGAAUUACUGGGCGUAAAGCGCAUGCAGGUGGUUUGUUAAGUCAGAUGUGAAAGCCCGGGGCUCAACCUCGGAAUAGCAUUUGAAACUGGACAGACUAGAGUACUGUAGAGGGGGGUAGAAUUUCAGGUGUAGCGGUGAAAUGCGUAGAGAUCUGAAGGAAUACCGGUGGCGAAGGCGGCCCCCUGGACAGAUACUGACACUCAAAUGCGAAAGCGUGGGGAGCAAACAGGAUUAGAUACCCUAGGUAGGAUAGCG